GAUGAACGCUAGCGGCAGGCUUAACACAUGCAAGUCGAGGGGUAUAGUUCUUCGGAACUAGAGACCGGCGCACGGGUGCGUAACGCGUAUGCAAUCUACCUUUUACAGAGGGAUAGCCCAGAGAAAUUUGGAUUAAUACCUCAUAGUAUGUGAGAAUCGCAUGGUUUUCAUAUUAAAGUUCCAACGGUAAAAGAUGAGCAUGCGUCCCAUUAGCUAGAUGGUAAGGUAACGGCUUACCAUGGCGACGAUGGGUAGGGGUCCUGAGAGGGAGAUCCCCCCACACUGGUACUGAGACACGGACCAGACUCCUACGGGAGGCAGCAGUGAGGAAUAUUGGACAAUGGGCGCAAGCCUGAUCCAGCCAUGCCGCGUGCAGGAUGACGGUCCUAUGGAUUG
RNAcentral lists this ribosomal RNA (396 nucleotides) under uncultured bacterium. RNAcentral describes it as "bacterial SSU rRNA". It matches the Rfam family "Bacterial small subunit ribosomal RNA", at positions 28 to 425 of the family's 1533-position model. The record is from RNAcentral.